UCAACCACUGGCCCUAGGAACCAAAUGUCUGAGUCUCUGGUGCUUUAACUUUCUGGUGCUUCCUCUGUGUCCUCAGGUGGACUCUGGGCCCUUUUCUCCCCUGAUUUGGACACUGGGCUCCACACCUUCUUUGAGAAAUAGAAACAGAGCUGAUCUCCUGCCUCGUGUACCUCCAUUAGCCCUUUCCCCCAUCAGAAGUCUUUUGAAGAAAGCCCCAGGAUGAAUGGUCCUGCAGGCAGAAACCAGUUCUGGGAUUAAUACUCAGUUCUCAGGGACCAGGAUGUGAGGCGAGACUGGGAUCCAUCAGGUUGUAUAGACAGCUCCCUACUCAGCAGGAGGAGGAGAUCUGGACACCCAGAGAGACACCGAGGUGCAUGCACAGAGUAAAGGCUGCGAGAAGAGGCAGCAAAAGGGCAGCUGGUUGUGUGCAAACCGAGGAGAGAGGCCUCAGAGGAAACCUAACAUGCUGACACCUUGAUCUUGGACUUCCUGCCUUUAAAAUGAUUCCUUUCCCAUAUAGGUAGCAAGAACUUUUUAGGCCACAGUAACUGCUGCAGCUUCCAAGGACCAAGUCGACGUGUCACUUGCAGGAUGUUCUGAGACCUCCAAGGAAGAAAAGGGCCCUUCAGUCAUCAAUCAAGCAAUAUUUAUUGAGUGUAUGUAAUAAUGCCACAUACCAAGUAUAGGAUCGCAUCCCCACACAUUUACCUGAAGGAGGUGAGAGAAGAAAGAAGCCAGCAUUUAACUAGACUGUGAACACUUCCAGGCAGAAACCAUGUCUCUAUCACUGAGGAGCAGCACGGCAAUGUGAGACCACAGGCUUCGGAGUCAGCCAGACUUGUACUUGAAAGUCCAACCUGGAGUAAGACACCCUGGGCAAGAUUUCGAUCAUCUCAGGAUCUCUGUCUCAUUAGCUGCAAAAACAAUACUUCCUCAUAAGCUGUCAUAAGGAUUAAAUGUGGUAAUAACACAAAGCAGCUGGCACUGAGUCUGACACAUCAUGGAUGCUCAGUAAAUGUUGGAUGAAGAAAGUGCAGGAAGAGAAGCUCCAGACAGAGCUUGUGGUGAGCUGUGAGAGAGCCUCUGUGGGUCAGCACGGCCUCGGCCAUCCUGACAGAGAUGAGGCAGAGCUGAGUGGAGUUACGGCCAGACUCUGUCUCCAGAGGAAGUGCUGACUGAGCAAGAGGAAGGUGACAUCCAGGGCUGGUGGACAGCAAGACAAGGAAGACCAGAAGUGAAUGUGGGAGGUCUCGGUGAGAUCGCCUGCAGCAUUUGGCUAUGACAGGGCCAUCACUCCAGGCCCAGCUCCAAGGGGCAGACUUGACAAGUGCCUGAAGCUGGCAUUGGACAGUAGGAAGCACAUCCUCUCUGACUCGGGAGCUUUAAAAACACACUUGCCUGGUCCCCACCUCCAGAGAUUUGGUUUCAAGUGCUCUAAAGUAGACCCAGGGCUGAGCAUUUUAAAAAACUCUUCAGAGAAUUCUAAGGCAGGGAAGGCUGAGAAUCACACUCUAGAAUAGAGGAGGUGCCAUACUUAAUAGGCCAGAUAAGGACCAAGUUUGCUCCUAUACCCCCAGACUGUUCCCUGAGCAUCACUGAGGGGAUGGGAGGUGGUGGGUGGCUGCUACUCGCUUGCCUGCCCUGGUGAGGACUGGCUCAGUACCAGAGUGGGCCCAUCCACAGACCAAGUGGCAGGGAGCAGGGAGAGACAAGGGUAGAAAAAAAUGAGGCUGAUGGAGCAUAGUCUUUCUGAUCUCAAAAUCCCAGCCUGCCUCUCCAGCCCCUCCCCAGAGGAGACCAGUUGCUCUUUGGGAGAGGGAGGUCCUUUGGGAAGUGAUGGGGUGGAGGAACACCUUCUCUUCCUUCAUACCCACUCUGAUGGCGCAGGGGAAACCAGCGGGGAGCUGCUGUUCACUUCUCCCGGGGGGAAAACUCAGUGAUGGAAGCUUAGAACUCAUGGUCAUUCUAAGAAUGUAAGGAAUUUUUUUUAGAUAAGAAGUAAGUCCCCAGCCAGCUGCAGAACCCUCUUAGUUUGAAGAGGUCAUAAACAAGGAUGAGAAAAAAGGAAGGGAGGAACUCAUGAGAAAUUAGAUCUGCUGACAUUUGUUUGAAAACUGCCUAGUCCUCCACCCUGUGGAUUUCCACAAUCUGUAUGUGUAAAAGGUAAUCAGGAUGAUGACACCUAUUACAGUUCACAAGGAACAGACCCACCAAGAAGUGGUAUCGGGAAGUGACUUCUAGUAAAAGCUGCCCUUUAUUUUAUCACCCUGGUGGUCCUCACUAGACCCUGCAAAUAUUUGAUCAUGCAAACCCGAUUAAAAGUUAUUGAUCAUGAAGAAAGAAUAU
Molecule: long non-coding RNA, 2346 nt
Organism: Mesoplodon densirostris (Blainville's beaked whale)
Lineage: Eukaryota; Metazoa; Chordata; Mammalia; Artiodactyla; Ziphiidae
Exons: 4
Source: RefSeq, a predicted model, not a curated record